GCUUCUACAGGAUAAUAGUUAUCCCUUGGUCUUAGGAACCAAUGAUUCUUGGUGCAAAUCCAAGUGGUAGCU
RNAcentral lists this transfer RNA (72 nucleotides) under Pempheris schwenkii (black-stripe sweeper). RNAcentral's name for it is "tRNA-Leu(CUN)". It matches the Rfam family "tRNA". From Rfam's summary of the family: Transfer RNA (tRNA) molecules are approximately 80 nucleotides in length. Their secondary structure includes four short double-helical elements and three loops (D, anti-codon, and T loops). Further hydrogen bonds mediate the characteristic L-shaped molecular structure. tRNAs have two regions of fundamental functional importance: the anti-codon, which is responsible for specific mRNA codon recognition, and the 3' end, to which the tRNAs corresponding amino acid is attached (by aminoacyl-tRNA synthetases). tRNAs cope with the degeneracy of the genetic code in two manners: having more than one tRNA (with a specific anti-codon) for a particular amino acid; and 'wobble' base-pairing, i.e. permitting non-standard base-pairing at the 3rd anti-codon position. The record is from RNAcentral. Lineage: Eukaryota; Metazoa; Chordata; Actinopteri; Acropomatiformes; Pempheridae.